UCAAUUUGUGUUUGUGACAAAUUUUACAACUAAUCAAAUAAUAUGUGUUGUAACGAUCAAAAUCAAACCGUCGUUAAUCACAUUCACAGUUUACGUUUAUUAAAGUUAUAUAAAUUAUUUCUUUACGUUUCAAUAAAUUAUUCACAGAAGUCAUACAGAAGAUCACGCUGCCAUACAAUAUGAUUCCAAACAUAAAGUUAAAAUGUA
Molecule: long non-coding RNA, 207 nt
Filed under: Acyrthosiphon pisum (pea aphid)
Lineage: Eukaryota; Metazoa; Arthropoda; Insecta; Hemiptera; Aphididae
Description: uncharacterized LOC103311653, transcript variant X3
Source: RNAcentral